This 292-nucleotide ribosomal RNA is filed under the name Polistes dominula (European paper wasp). RNAcentral's name for it is "partial 28S ribosomal RNA". Lineage: Eukaryota; Metazoa; Arthropoda; Insecta; Hymenoptera; Vespidae. The record is from RNAcentral.
AGCGUCAGCGGCGUUAACUCGGCGGAUCGUGCGUCGUCUCGGACUUCGGUCUUGGGACUCGUAAUCUUUCCAUGCCUUGUUUGGCGUCGUCGUCGUGCACUUCUUCCCUAGUAGAACGUCGCGACCCGUUGGGUGUCGGUCUACGGUCCGAGCGGUAGACUGUCGCGUCGCUUCGGCGCACGCGGCAGACCCUCGGUCACCUGGCCGGCUGCCCGGCGGUCGAACUUAUAAGGUAUCUUGCCGCAAUUUUUGAACUGCGUCGGGCCCGUCGCAAGCGAGGCCAGUGUCUUAC